UUCGAGUUAUUUUAGAAAAGUAAUUCGUAUCUUUUUCUAUUCAUCUAUAUAAAAAUGAUAGUGGUAAACGUUUGGUUCAAAAUUAUGUCAAAACUAUAAUAAAUGGAAGUCAUAAAUGAUCUAAGCAUGGGUUGAUUUGUUCAAAUAUACCUUUCAUAUAAAUGAAUAGUCAGAAUGAGAAAAAUGUAAGAGCUUUACAAGUCGCCAAAGGAUUGAUUUGUUAAGAACAUUGUCUAACAAGGUUGGCUUGGCCAAUCGGAAAGAAGAAACUAAGUCCUUAAAAUAAUUGAUAUAUGAAUUAUGAACCAAUGAAAAUAACUAUCGUUGCUUUCACAGAGUCUAAUAUUGAGGCAAAGUCUUGACUGCGCACAAUAUUAAUUGCCCUCCGAAUAAUGCUUUCUUGCGUGGAUCCUUCACUGCAUUUAUAAAUAAAGACUACAGAGGGACCCUUUAAAAGAUCCCAAAGUCAAAUUUAUAUCAUUGUUCUUUGGUGGCUUUGAAUUCUAUUCUAUAUUAUACGCAUCAACUUGUAAUCAGAAAUUCAACAAUAGAAGCCUUAGAAACAAGAUUUCUUUUGGCUUUGGACAAAACUUAGUGUAGUUCCUAAGAAAAUCUGCAGAAGUUAAAAAAAAAUAGUGGUUUAUCAGUUUGGCUUAACCAAAAUUCUGUAUAGAAUUAAAGAUGACAUUGCAAAGCAAUGUCUUGAGGGAGCAAAGGACAAGCAUGAUUAGCUAAGACCCACAUGGCAAAUUUGGUUAUCCGAGUCAUGCAUCCUGAAACUUGUCCCAAUCUUUAAAAACAAAAACAAACCUCGUACAUAUAUAUUGUAUUUUGUAAGAAAAGUUUCACCAAAAACUAAGCCUGACAUUUGUGUAUAUUAUAAGACAAUCCGGAAAGGGGAAUCCAACCACUGAAAAUAUCAGAUAUAAUCACAUGAAAUUUAUAGCAUUUGAGUUACAGAUGGCACAUGCAAAUUUAAGACUUCAAGAUGUGAAAAAGUUUCAAAGAUGUUUGAUAGAUACACUGUCAAAUUCCCCACCUGAAUUAGCUUAUAAUCUCACAAAAAAAGCAACACUCCGGUUCGGUCCAAUCAUAAUCUUCAAAUGAGAUCUUGCUAUAAAAUCAACUUUGAUUGGAUUCUGAUGUCAUUUUAAUGAGAAAAAAAACAUAAAGAGGAAUAAAUGGCAAUGGGGAUGAGAUGUUAGAAAUUAGAAUAUGUGCAUUAAUUGGAUUCCGUACUUUACAGCUUGCGAAUGACGACAGGUACCUUGCACAGUGUAUGAAGAACUAAAGAACAGCUUUGAGAAGGAAGAAAGUUGAAGAGCUUCCAGAGUACAUAAAGCAGCCUCACAUAGCUUUAUCACAAAAGAAUGGAAGAUAUCAAGGGAAACAACCCGGUGGUAAACACCCUUCUGAAGAGUGUUAUACAUCAGCCUGUCAAACAUGAGCCAUAGGCCUUCCAAUGAAUUCACGCGAGCCACUGAACAUGAGCAUUCAUUCCUUGAUGAGCUUGCUACAAUUCAGGAACCUUCUCCCAUGCUGAAAAAGGAAACCUGCGAUUCUUCUUAUUUGUCAUUCCAUUUCUAAGUAAAGGACACACAAAAUGAUCAGCAACAUUGAAUCUGUGAACACGAUCAGAGUAACAAAAGUAUUCAAAUAGAAACGUCAAGGUUAAGGGAUUAUCUAGCAGGAAAGGACCAUCUUGAUUCCAAUGGCUGGAUGCUAAGAGCAAAUGACUGGCAGGGAGAGCCGAGUAACAUAAGGAAAUGCUAGUACAGAAAUAACAAAU
RNAcentral lists this long non-coding RNA (1789 nucleotides) under Cucumis sativus (cucumber). RNAcentral's name for it is "long non-coding RNA (CSAT_LNC002095)". The record is from RNAcentral. Lineage: Eukaryota; Viridiplantae; Streptophyta; Magnoliopsida; Cucurbitales; Cucurbitaceae.